RNAcentral lists this long non-coding RNA (966 nucleotides) under Oryctolagus cuniculus (rabbit). RNAcentral's name for it is "lncRNA (ENSOCUG00000037533.1)". The record is from RNAcentral. Lineage: Eukaryota; Metazoa; Chordata; Mammalia; Lagomorpha; Leporidae.
GCCCCAGUUCAUUCAUUUUAGCUGCUGUGGUUUUCCACUAUUGAAUAUGCAACACUGUGAGUGGCUUCAAAGAGUGCCUGGGAAGGGGAAUUAAAAGAUAAAUUUAUUUUGGUGCAAAAAGUUGAAAUCCAUGUACAGUUUUGUCAUUGUAUGCAUUUUCCAUGGACUUUUUGGUCACCUGUUAAUGAGCAUUUCAUUUGUUCCCCAACUGUAGCAAAAUGCUGUCAAUAACGUAAUUACAGAUGUCCUUGUGCUUAAAUCUAGGUUUUCCGGCAGAACAGAGCAAGAGCUCAAUAUCUUAUGCAUUUUUUCGUCAACUUUCGAAGACCCUGUGUGCUAAGUCCAGAAGAGAUGGGACAGCCAUCCUUAGCGAAAAUUCCGAGCCGAAGCUAUACAUCUUUUUGCAGUACCACUGUCAGGACGAGAAAGGUCCCAUAGUUCUGUUGGAGAAAAAAGUGGGAGUUGAGUGAUUGGCCACGUUCCCUUCAAGUCGCUGUUUCACGUGUCACUACAGGUGAGGAAGUCCGUCUGGUGAUUCCCUACCCUCCCAGGGUGCUGGGGGCAGGAGUCCUUCUCUGUGACAGCAGAGGUACAUGAUCCCGAGGGCUGAGGGGUGCAGUUGAGAGCCAAGCGUUCUGCUUACACUUCCAGGCCUUUCUCUGCCCGGUGGCAAUGGCUGAUGGCUCAGGCCAGGCACACUUUGGGUGUUGCCUCAAGUGUGUGGGUAAGAACAAAACAUCCCCUCCAAGGCAUUCUCUGUGCAGCCUGUUUCAGAAUUAAAUACUUUGGGGCUCUCUUUUGACUCCCUUAGAGAGAGGUAUCUGUUUUUCUUUAGAGAAUCUAUGGGAAGCAGGAGCUACAGGCACCUACAGGCACCACCCCAGGCACACGUGGGUGGUGGUGUUGGGUGGUCUUGCUCAUCAGCCCGAGUUGGACAUCUCUGUGGGUGCUGAACGGCAGAGGAGC